GUUUGGAUUUUUCACCGGGAAACGAGACUAUAUUGUAGGGACGCAACGAUAAACGGUAAAUAAUAACGACGGCGGAAAAGCUCCCGACGUUUGGCUGUCCCGAUGGAGGUCCAACAUGCAAUAAUCCGCUCGGGUCCGAGUCCCGGCCCGAGUGCUGGGACUUUGUAGGGGGAGGCGGCUUUCAUCUCAAUGCGAGUCAGGAGUUGAUUCAAACGUGGACUGAUGGAGGAAUUAACCCCCGGGACCCAGCUUUCAAUGGGCUCAGUGCUGCCGUCGGCGUACGACAUGGGAAAGUCUUCCGAGCGUGACAAAAGCCAAACCUCAAAGAGCGCCUGGUCACAUGACCGCAAGGAGUCUGCAAAUGUCCCGUGCGCUACACGGACCACCACG
Nerophis lumbriciformis (worm pipefish) is the source of this 390-nucleotide long non-coding RNA. RefSeq lists it as uncharacterized. The record is from RefSeq and is a predicted model, not a curated record. NCBI's taxonomy places the organism in Eukaryota, Metazoa, Chordata, Actinopteri, Syngnathiformes, Syngnathidae.